This 429-nucleotide ribosomal RNA is filed under the name Gemmatimonadota bacterium. Its description in RNAcentral is "Gemmatimonadetes bacterium partial 16S ribosomal RNA". It matches the Rfam family "Bacterial small subunit ribosomal RNA", at positions 355 to 776 of the family's 1533-position model. The record is from RNAcentral. Lineage: Bacteria; Pseudomonadati; Gemmatimonadota.
UAGGGAAUCUUCGGCAAUGGACGAAAGUCUGACCGAGCAACGCCGCGUGAGUGAAGAAGGUUUUCGGAUCGUAAAACUCUGUUGUUAGAGAAGAACAAGGACGUUAGUAACUGAACGUCCCCUGACGGUAUCUAACCAGAAAGCCACGGCUAACUACGUGCCACCAGCCGCGGUAAUACGUAGGUGGCAAGCGUUUUCCGGAUUUAUUGGGCGUAAAGCGAGCGCAGGCGGUUUCUUAAGUCUGAUGUGAAAGCCCCCGGCUCAACCGGGGAGGGUCAUUGGAAACUGAGAGACUUGAGUGCAGAAGAGGAGAGUGGAAUUCCAUGUGUAGCGGUGAAAUGCGUAGAUAUAUGGAGAAACACCAGUGGCGAAGGCGGCUCUCUGGUCUGUAACUGACGCUGAGGCUCGAAAGCGUGGGGUGCAAACAGG